UUUUUUUUUGAAUACCAGGAGGUUUUGGGUCGAAUCCCGUAAUCCCCCCAAGCCCGAAACCACAGCAUGUAAUAUUAGUUUCGUCCCAAGCGUCAUUCGAAUCGGCGACCUCUAAACUUUGCAUACGGUCUUUACCAAUUGAGCUAACGACACUUAUCACAUUUUUUAGUUUUUUCUUCGUCUAUUUAACAUAAUCUUAGAAAAGUAACUAUGAAAAUCUAAAAUGAAAUGUGUUCCGA
This 239-nucleotide small RNA is filed under the name Arabidopsis thaliana (thale cress). RNAcentral describes it as "ATSL027660". The record is from RNAcentral. Lineage: Eukaryota; Viridiplantae; Streptophyta; Magnoliopsida; Brassicales; Brassicaceae.